GUCCCUGUAGCGCACUGGAUAGCACGUUGGACUUCUAAAUCAAAGGUCGUGGGUUCAAAUCCCACCUGGGAUG
Molecule: transfer RNA, 73 nt
Filed under: Trichonephila inaurata madagascariensis
Lineage: Eukaryota; Metazoa; Arthropoda; Arachnida; Araneae; Nephilidae
Rfam family: tRNA
About the family: Transfer RNA (tRNA) molecules are approximately 80 nucleotides in length.
Source: Rfam by way of RNAcentral